RNAcentral lists this long non-coding RNA (358 nucleotides) under Equus caballus (horse). RNAcentral describes it as "lncRNA (ENSECAG00000051783.1)". Lineage: Eukaryota; Metazoa; Chordata; Mammalia; Perissodactyla; Equidae. The record is from RNAcentral.
GUGAGGAAAGUUUAAUGAAGGGUCUGUUUACACAGUCAGCUCAGGUGGUGGCAGCAGGGAAGGAGGUGCGCUUGGAGCCAGGCAGCCCCGGAGGCACCACUUUCCAGCUGGGGGUCACUCAACUUUCAGGAAGCCCAGGGUCCUCCUCUGGCAGUGGUGACGGCCCCGGCCUCCAGGAGCGGCCGCAAGGAUUCAGAGCUGAUAAGACUGACAGCUCGGGUCGUGUUGUGUAAGCUGGCUUCGGUGCCUGACGAGAAUCCCAACGCCACCACCUCCUUGGGCCACUCAUCUGACCUCACCAGGCCUCUGUUUCCUAUCUGCAAAAUGGGAACACUGAGUUCACAGGGCUGUGAGUCCC